Molecule: non-coding RNA, 79 nt
Organism: Podarcis lilfordi (Lilford's wall lizard)
Lineage: Eukaryota; Metazoa; Chordata; Lepidosauria; Squamata; Lacertidae
Source: the annotation of a GenBank genome assembly
GGAAAGGCUGUAGCUCAGUGGCAGAGCAUCUAUUUGCCUUGCAUGCAGAAGCCGCCAGGUUCAAUCCCUCACUUCUCUA